RNAcentral lists this ribosomal RNA (2267 nucleotides) under Escherichia coli. RNAcentral's name for it is "partial 23S ribosomal RNA". It matches the Rfam family "Bacterial large subunit ribosomal RNA", at positions 398 to 2649 of the family's 2925-position model. Lineage: Bacteria; Pseudomonadati; Pseudomonadota; Gammaproteobacteria; Enterobacterales; Enterobacteriaceae. The record is from RNAcentral.
UGUGAGCUCGAUGAGUAGGGCGGGACACGUGGUAUCCUGUCUGAAUAUGGGGGGACCAUCCUCCAAGGCUAAAUACUCCUGACUGACCGAUAGUGAACCAGUACCGUGAGGGAAAGGCGAAAAGAACCCCGGCGAGGGGAGUGAAAAAGAACCUGAAACCGUGUACGUACAAGCAGUGGGAGCCUCUUAAUGGGGUGACUGCGUACCUUUUGUAUAAUGGGUCAGCGACUUAUAUUCUGUAGCAAGGUUAACCGAAUAGGGGAGCCGAAGGGAAACCGAGUCUUAACUGGGCGUUAAGUUGCAGGGUAUAGACCCGAAACCCGGUGAUCUAGCCAUGGGCAGGUUGAAGGUUGGGUAACACUAACUGGAGGACCGAACCGACUAAUGUUGAAAAAUUAGCGGAUGACUUGUGGCUGGGGGUGAAAGGCCAAUCAAACCGGGAGAUAGCUGGUUCUCCCCGAAAGCUAUUUAGGUAGCGCCUCGUGAAUUCAUCUCCGGGGGUAGAGCACUGUUUCGGCAAGGGGGUCAUCCCGACUUACCAACCCGAUGCAAACUGCGAAUACCGGAGAAUGUUAUCACGGGAGACACACGGCGGGUGCUAACGUCCGUCGUGAAGAGGGAAACAACCCAGACCGCCAGCUAAGGUCCCAAAGUCAUGGUUAAGUGGGAAACGAUGUGGGAAGGCCCAGACAGCCAGGAUGUUGGCUUAGAAGCAGCCAUCAUUUAAAGAAAGCGUAAUAGCUCACUGGUCGAGUCGGCCUGCGCGGAAGAUGUAACGGGGCUAAACCAUGCACCGAAGCUGCGGCAGCGACGCUUAUGCGUUGUUGGGUAGGGGAGCGUUCUGUAAGCCUGUGAAGGUGUGCUGUGAGGCAUGCUGGAGGUAUCAGAAGUGCGAAUGCUGACAUAAGUAACGAUAAAGCGGGUGAAAAGCCCGCUCGCCGGAAGACCAAGGGUUCCUGUCCAACGUUAAUCGGGGCAGGGUGAGUCGACCCCUAAGGCGAGGCCGAAAGGCGUAGUCGAUGGGAAACAGGUUAAUAUUCCUGUACUUGGUGUUACUGCGAAGGGGGGACGGAGAAGGCUAUGUUGGCCGGGCGACGGUUGUCCCGGUUUAAGCGUGUAGGCUGGUUUUCCAGGCAAAUCCGGAAAACCAAGGCUGAGGCGUGAUGACGAGGCACUACGGUGCUGAAGCGACAAAUGCCCUGCUUCCAGGAAAAGCCUCUAAGCAUCAGGUAACAUCAAAUCGUACCCCAAACCGACACAGGUGGUCAGGUAGAGAAUACCAAGGCGCUUGAGAGAACUCGGGUGAAGGAACUAGGCAAAAUGGUGCCGUAACUUCGGGAGAAGGCACGCUGAUAUGUAGGUGAAGCGACUUGCUCGUGGAGCUGAAAUCAGUCGAAGAUACCAGCUGGCUGCAACUGUUUAUUAAAAACACAGCACUGUGCAAACACGAAAGUGGACGUAUACGGUGUGACGCCUGCCCGGUGCCGGAAGGUUAAUUGAUGGGGUUAGCGGCAACGCGAAGCUCUUGAUCGAAGCCCCGGUAAACGGCGGCCGUAACUAUAACGGUCCUAAGGUAGCGAAAUUCCUUGUCGGGUAAGUUCCGACCUGCACGAAUGGCGUAAUGAUGGCCAGGCUGUCUCCACCCGAGACUCAGUGAAAUUGAACUCGCUGUGAAGAUGCAGUGUACCCGCGGCAAGACGGAAAGACCCCGUGAACCUUUACUAUAGCUUGACACUGAACAUUGAGCCUUGAUGUGUAGGAUAGGUGGGAGGCUUUGAAGUGUGGACGCCAGUCUGCAUGGAGCCGACCUUGAAAUACCACCCUUUAAUGUUUGAUGUUCUAACGUUGGCCCCUAAUCGGGGUUGCGGACAGUGUCUGGUGGGUAGUUUGACUGGGGCGGUCUCCUCCUAAAGAGUAACGGAGGAGCACGAAGGUUGGCUAAUCCUGGUCGGACAUCAGGAGGUUAGUGCAAUGGCAUAAGCCAGCUUGACUGCGAGCGUGACGGCGCGAGCAGGUGCGAAAGCAGGUCAUAGUGAUCCGGUGGUUCUGAAUGGAAGGGCCAUCGCUCAACGGAUAAAAGGUACUCCGGGGAUAACAGGCUGAUACCGCCCAAGAGUUCAUAUCGACGGCGGUGUUUGGCACCUCGAUGUCGGCUCAUCACAUCCUGGGGCUGAAGUAGGUCCCAAGGGUAUGGCUGUUCGCCAUUUAAAGUGGUACGCGAGCUGGGUUUAGAACGUCGUGAGACAGUUCGGUCCCUAUCUGCCGUG